GCCCUGGUAGUAUAGUGGUAUCAUACAUCCUUCGGGCUCAAACCCAGGCUGAAAAGCGGUCUAUGCAUGGAUGUGACCCGCGUUCGAUUCGCGGCUAGGGCC
Molecule: non-coding RNA, 102 nt
Organism: Penicillium ucsense
Lineage: Eukaryota; Fungi; Ascomycota; Eurotiomycetes; Eurotiales; Aspergillaceae
Source: the annotation of a GenBank genome assembly